Molecule: non-coding RNA, 84 nt
Organism: Bombyx mori (domestic silkworm)
Lineage: Eukaryota; Metazoa; Arthropoda; Insecta; Lepidoptera; Bombycidae
Source: Rfam
UUAACUCAAAUUUGUAUGGAGUUGGAACGGCUGCCUACGUUUGCCGCCAGGGGCGCUGUUCCAAUUGCGUACAAAUUUAAAUUU